CCACCAUGCCGCGUGCGGGAAAAGGCCUUCGGGUUGUAAACCGCUUUUGGCAGGAACGAAACGGCGCUUGAUAAUACCUAGCGCUAAUGACGGUACCUGCAGAAUAAGCACCGGCUAACUACGUGCCAGCAGCCGCGGUAAUACGUAGGGUGCAAGCGUUAAUCGGAAUUACUGGGCGUAAAGCGUGCGCAGGCGGCUGUGCAAGACAGGUGUGAAAUCCCCGGGCUUAACCUGGGAACUGCAUUUGUGACUGCAUAGCUAGAGUCCGUAAGAGGGGGGUGGAAUUCCACGUGUAGCAGUGAAAUGCGUAGAGAUGUGGAGGAACACCGAUGGCGAAGGCAGCCCCCUGGGAUGAGACUGACGCUCAUGUACGAAAGCGUGGGGAGCAAACAGGAUUAGAUACCCUGGUAGUCCACGCCCUAAACGAUGUCAACUAGUUGUCGGGCCUUUACAGGCUUGGUAACGCAGCUAACGCGUGAAGUUGACCGCCUGGGGAGUACGGUCGCAAGAUUAAAACUCAAAGGAAUUGACGGGGACCCGCACAAGCGGUGGAUGAUGUGGAUUAAUUCGAUGCAACGCGAAAAACCUUAC
This 591-nucleotide ribosomal RNA is filed under the name uncultured bacterium. RNAcentral's name for it is "bacterial SSU rRNA". It matches the Rfam family "Bacterial small subunit ribosomal RNA", at positions 389 to 974 of the family's 1533-position model. The record is from RNAcentral.